CCUACGGGGGGCAGCAGUGGGGAAUAUUGGGCAAUGGAGGAAACUCUGACCCAGCAACGCCGCGUGAAUGAUGAAGGUCUUCGGAUUGUAAAGUUCUUUUCUAAGGGAAGAAGAAAGUGACGGUACCUUAGGAUUAAGCCUCGGCUAACUACGUGCCAGCAGCCGCGGUAUUCCGUAGGAGGCGAGCGUUAUCCGGAUUGACUGGGCGGAAAGGGGGCGUAGGUGGUUUGGCAAGUUAGUAGCGUAACCCCAAGGCUCAACCUUGGAACUACUACUAAAACUGUUGGACUUGAGUGCAGGAGAGGCAACCGGAAUUCCUAGUGUAGCGGUGGAAUGCGUAGAUAUUAGGAGGAACACCAGUGGCGAAGGCGGGUUGCUAGACUGUAACUGACACUGAGGCACGAAAGCGUGGGGAGCAAACAGGAUUAGAUACCCGAGUAGUC
RNAcentral lists this ribosomal RNA (443 nucleotides) under uncultured bacterium. RNAcentral describes it as "partial 16S ribosomal RNA". It matches the Rfam family "Bacterial small subunit ribosomal RNA", at positions 338 to 795 of the family's 1533-position model. The record is from RNAcentral.